UACGGAGGAUCCGAGCGUUAUCCGGAUUUAUUGGGUUUAAAGGGUGCGCAGGCGGAAGAUUAAGUCGGUGGUGAAAUUUUGCAGCUCAACUGUAAAAGUGCCUUCGAUACUGGCUUCCUUGAGUGUGGAUGAAGUAGGCGGAAUUUGUGGUGUAGCGGUGAAAUGCAUAGAUAUCACGAGGAACUCCGAUUGCGCAGGCAGCUUACUAAACUACUACUGACGCUCAUGCACGAAGGCGUGGGGAUCAAACAGGAUUAGA
Molecule: ribosomal RNA, 259 nt
Filed under: uncultured prokaryote
Description: partial 16S ribosomal RNA
Rfam family: Bacterial small subunit ribosomal RNA
Source: RNAcentral